This 253-nucleotide ribosomal RNA is filed under the name uncultured bacterium. Its description in RNAcentral is "partial 16S ribosomal RNA". It matches the Rfam family "Bacterial small subunit ribosomal RNA", at positions 524 to 776 of the family's 1533-position model. The record is from RNAcentral.
UACAGAGGGGGCAAGCGUUAUUCGGAAUUAUUGGGCGUAAAGGGCGCGUAGGCGGCUUGGCAAGUGGAAGGUGAAAUCCCUCGGCUUAACCGAGGAACUGCCCUCCAAACUGCUUCGCUUGAGACCGGGAGAGGUGAGUGGAAUUCCCAGUGUAGCGGUGAAAUGCGUAGAUAUUGGGAGGAACACCAGUGGCGAAGGCGGCUCACUGGACCGGUACUGACGCUGAUGCGCGAAAGCAUGGGGAGCGAACAGG